UGGCUAUAAAAUGUUUGGGCUUAGCUUUGCUUGGGUCCUCAACAUACAAACAGCUCAGUGUUCAACCCUAAAGACGCAACUGAAUUUCCACUACAAUUUGGCAUCAACGAACAGGAAGAUUGAUUCUGCCUGCAGAACUUUCCAGUGAGGGUCUGUGAGGAAAACCGGUGGCGCAUUUUAUGAAGCAUGAGGGAAAUCCCCGUCUGACCAAAAGAGGACGAGAACCUGCACAGACCAGACCCUUACUGUGCCCAGGAGGAGACGCAUCAUCCGCAAACAUUAGAAGGACACAGCGACCGAAUUUCACUUCUCCCGAAGGAUGUGAGCCAUAGGACUUCCUGGUCUGAUGACUCCUUGCUGUCUCUGUCCUCAGUCCACCUGGCCGUGCUGCUGAUCCAGUUUAUGCUGUUCUGUCUGCGGCUAUUGAACAUUGACCUGUUCCACGGUCAUGCUACCUGCUGUUUCGUCUCUCGCUCUCUCUCACCUGCUCUCUAGAUCUGAGUGCUCGGCUAUGAAAAGCCAACUGACAUUAACUCCUGAGGUGCUGACCUGUUGCACCCUCUAUAACUACUUAUUAUUUGACCCUACUGGUCAUCGACGAAUGUUUGAACACCUUGAACAACAAUCUGGCCUUAAUGGCCAUGUACUCUUAGAAUCUCCACCCGGCACAGCCAGAAGAGAACUGGCCA
Molecule: long non-coding RNA, 689 nt
Organism: Salvelinus sp. IW2-2015
Lineage: Eukaryota; Metazoa; Chordata; Actinopteri; Salmoniformes; Salmonidae
Source: RefSeq, a predicted model, not a curated record